UUAUUUAUCCAUUUUUUGUUUAUCAUUUGAAUUAUUAUAGGGAUGGCCAAAAAAAAAAAAAAAAGAGAGAGAGGAAAAAACUCGUCAAAUGAGCCCCGAACAGGGAGGGGAUUACUCGCUUAAUCGGGUAUUCAGGACGGGUUUGGAGUGAGGAAUUCCGUCCCGACCCAGGUACGAGUAACACCUGUCCUGUCUCGUUAUUAUUUAUUUUUAAAAUCAAAUACUUCAAAUGAAAAACUCUACAAAAUUUCAUUAAUUAUAAUAAAAGAUAUCAACUAAAAUUAUCUAAAGAGUAUGAGAAAUAAUAAAAAUCUUAAUUUAUUAAAUAUAUUCGAAUAAUUUAACUUUUAAAAAUAAAUAAAUUAAUUAAAAUUUUUAAUAUCUUUAUUAUUGCCUCACUUUAAUUAAUAGGGUAAUAAAAAGAAUUAUAAAAACUUAAAAAAGGUUACAUAAAUGGGUAAAGGCCCCGCUCCAACGCCCCAUCCCUCCUUAAAUGGGUCGCCCUACCCCGAAGCCGCCCCGUUGCAAUCUCUAAAUAAUUGUCAUGUUCUCAAUCUUUUUAACACAUAUUAUAAUUUAAUAAUUUAAUACUUAUAGAUCUAUCUAUUAUAAAUAGUUCGUUGUUGUUUUUGAAGUAGCACAAUAUUAUAAUUAAUAUUCUUAAAGAAUAUUACUUGCUCAUGAAGAGGAGGAACUAUUUUUUUUUUAAUAUUUCAGAAGAAUAUUAAUUGCUCAAUAUGAAUUAUAUUUUUUUAAUAUUCCAAAAAGAAUAUUGACAUAUUACUUUUGAAUAAGCAUUAGUAAAAUACAACAUGCUUCCGAAGUAACACAUAUUUCGAAGAAUAUAUUAUUUUAAAUUAGUGUUUAUCCCUGAAAGAAAAGUACGUAACUUAUGUCAUAUGGAUAUUACUUGAUUAAUCAUUAUGUGGUGUUUAAUAAUAUUUUUCAAAAGUAAUUGUACUUCUUCAUUGUGUAGUUAAUCAAGUGACAAACAUCACAAAAGUUGAGUUUGUUACACUUGGCUUAUCUGGCACAAAUUAUCUAUCAUGGAUCUCUGAUGCCAAUAUCCAUAUUGUUUCAAAAAGGUUUGCGAGAGACAAGAAAAGCAGAAAACAAAGAAUUCUUACCGGAUCAUGCAAAAGUACUCAUCUUUCUUCAUCUUCAUUUUUACAAUGGAUUGAAAAUUAAAUACCUCACUAAAAAAUAUCCACAAAUUUUUUGAAAAAAAUGAACCGAAAUAUUUGAUCAUCAGAGGACUAUAGUCUUCUCCAAAGCUCACUAUGAGUGGAUGCACCUUCAUUUGCAAGACCUCAAAAUUGGUAGUGAGUACAAUUCUGAUAUUCAAAAUUAACUUUGUAUGGGAAAAAAAUCACUGAUGAAGAUAUGUUAGAGAAAACAUUUUUCAUCUUUUAUGCUUCAAAUGUGCUCCCACAAUAAUAAUAUCGUGAGCGUGGUUUCAAAGCGUACUAAGAACUCAUGUUUUACCUGCUUGUGGUUGCACAAAAUAACGAAUUUGUUUAUGAAAAAUCAUGGAUUACGUCUAAUUAGUUCUGUACCAUUGCCUGAAACAAAUACAAUAUUAAGACGUGGAUGUGGACAUGAAUAUGGGCAUGGAUGCGAACGUGCACGUGGAAUAAACCAUGAAUGAAAUAAUCAACAAAGUUAUCAACAAUAAAAAACAAUUUCAAAAGGUACAAUGAAAUUAGUAUAUCCAAAAAGAAGCAUGAAAAAAAUUGUUUUAGAUGUGGAAUGAAAGGAAAUUGGACACAUAACAUCAUACAGUAAAAUAUUUUAUGGAUCUUUACCAAAAAUCAAUUAAUGGAAAGGGAAAAGUAUAGACAAAUUUUGCUGAUUAUGAUGGCUCAAUUGAUGUGAUCCAUUUGGAUGUCUCCGAUUUUUUUAUUGAUUCAAAUGGAAAUAUUGAUCAUUUGAUUGUGGUGGUGUGAUGAAAGAUAUAAAUUAGUUUAUUUUUUAUGUUUCUAGUAUUUCCCUUUAUUUUAGAUAUUUAGCAUGAAAUAUGUUUUUACAUUUCUUAAAAAAGAAAAAUAAAAAAAUUAUGCAUUGUAAAUUUCAUAGUAUUGAAUUGUAUUUAACGUUUUAAAUUUAAAUUCAAGCUUUUUAAAUAUAUUUAUUUUGAUGAAUAAUGUGUG
RNAcentral lists this long non-coding RNA (2150 nucleotides) under Olea europaea subsp. europaea. Lineage: Eukaryota; Viridiplantae; Streptophyta; Magnoliopsida; Lamiales; Oleaceae. The record is from RNAcentral.